Molecule: ribosomal RNA, 502 nt
Filed under: uncultured Glomeromycotina
Lineage: Eukaryota; Fungi; Glomeromycota
Description: partial small subunit ribosomal RNA
Rfam family: Eukaryotic small subunit ribosomal RNA
Source: RNAcentral
CCAAUAGCGUAUAUUAAAGUUGUUGCAGUUAAAAAGCUCGUAGUUGAAUUUCGGGGUCUGUCCGUCGGUCGGGCUUCACGGUCCGUACUGGUGUGAUAGGUUCCUACCUUCUGAAUAACCGGCAUGCCAUUCAGUUGGUGCGCCGGGGAAGCAGAGCUAUUACCUUGAAAAAAUUAGAGUGCUUAAAGCAGGCUAGUGCUUGAAUAGAUUAGCAUGGAAUAAUAAAAUAGGACGGCAUGGUUCUAUUUUGUUGGUUUCUAGGAUCACCGUAAUGAUUAAUAGGGAUAGUUGGGGGCAUUAGUAUUCAAUUGUCAGAGGUGAAAUUCUUGGAUUUAUUGAAGACUAACUUCUGCGAAAGCAUUUGCCAAGGAUGUUUUCAUUAAUCAAGAACGAAAGUUAGGGGAUCGAAGACGAUCAGAUACCGUCGUAGUCUUAACCAUAAACUAUGCCGACUAGGGAUCGGACGAUGUUAAUUUUUUAAUGACUCGUUCGGCGCCUUACG